GGUUCGUUGAUUGCGACUCGCCGAGAAGUCCAUUGAACCUUAUCAUUUAGAGGAAGGAGAAGUCGUAACAAGGUUUCCGUAGGUGAACCUGCGGAAGGAUCAUUG
RNAcentral lists this ribosomal RNA (105 nucleotides) under Bifrenaria aureofulva. RNAcentral's name for it is "partial 18S ribosomal RNA". It matches the Rfam family "Eukaryotic small subunit ribosomal RNA", at positions 1717 to 1831 of the family's 1831-position model. The record is from RNAcentral. Lineage: Eukaryota; Viridiplantae; Streptophyta; Magnoliopsida; Asparagales; Orchidaceae.